Frankliniella occidentalis (western flower thrips) is the source of this 504-nucleotide long non-coding RNA. RefSeq lists it as uncharacterized. The record is from RefSeq and is a predicted model, not a curated record. Lineage: Eukaryota; Metazoa; Arthropoda; Insecta; Thysanoptera; Thripidae. The transcript has 3 exons.
UCUUAAGCGACAAAAUAUUUUCGUGUUCGUGGUGGAAUGUUGGUUGCAAAGGCAGCCUGCUCCGCGGGACAAACACACUCGUCAGCCAUCUUGCUGCCGUGCCGACGGUCAGGUCUUAGGUCUUGCCUUGGGAGAAGGAAUAUUAUUGAAGAAACGGAUAUUACCUCCUCAAAUCACUACAUCCUACUUCAUAAAACAGUUGCUGUGAUCUUGGCCAAUCCAUUUGAAGUUUUAUUUCUGAUACGUCACUUCUGAAGUCUUCACGUUAUGUUUGAGAGUAUGAGAUGAAUGUCGCAAUCCUUCUGAUCCUCAACAUUCAGAUAAUAUAAUGAAGAUCCUAGUUGCAGUAUUACGUCUGAGUUCAAAUGGUCGGUGCAGGAAGUAAACGCAAAGGAUUUCUGAAGUCUUCACGAUAUGUUUGAGGGUAUGAGAAGAUUGUCGCAGUCCUUCCGAGACUCAACGCUUAUAUUAUAUAAUGAAGACUAGAGUAGUUGGAGUAUUGUG